GAUGAACGCUGGCGGCGUGCCUAAUACAUGCAAGUCGAGCGAACAGACGAGGAGCUUGCUCCUCUGACGUUAGCGGCGGACGGGUGAGUAACACGUGGAUAACCUACCUAUAAGACUGGGAUAACUUCGGGAAACCGGAGCUAAUACCGGAUAAUCUAUUGAACCGCAUGGUUCAAUAGUGAAAGACGGUUUUGCUGUCACUUAUAGAUGGAUCCGCGCCGCAUUAGCUAGUUGGUAAGGUAACGGCUUACCAAGGCAACGAUGCGUAGCCGACCUGAGAGGGUGAUCGGCCACACUGGAACGGAGACACGGUCCAGACUCCUACGGGAGGCAGCAGUAGGGAAUCUUACGCAAUGGGCGAGAGCCUGACGGAGCAACGCCGCGUGAGUGAUGAAGGUCUUCGGAGCGUAAAACUCUGUUAUUAGGGAAGAACAAAUGUGUAAGUAACUAUGCACGUCUUGACGGUACCUAAUCAGAAAGCCACGGCUAACUACGUG
This 497-nucleotide ribosomal RNA is filed under the name uncultured bacterium. RNAcentral describes it as "partial 16S ribosomal RNA". It matches the Rfam family "Bacterial small subunit ribosomal RNA", at positions 28 to 507 of the family's 1533-position model. The record is from RNAcentral.